Molecule: transfer RNA, 74 nt
Filed under: Haliotis rubra (blacklip abalone)
Lineage: Eukaryota; Metazoa; Mollusca; Gastropoda; Lepetellida; Haliotidae
Description: tRNA-Tyr
Rfam family: tRNA
About the family: Transfer RNA (tRNA) molecules are approximately 80 nucleotides in length. Their secondary structure includes four short double-helical elements and three loops (D, anti-codon, and T loops). Further hydrogen bonds mediate the characteristic L-shaped molecular structure. tRNAs have two regions of fundamental functional importance: the anti-codon, which is responsible for specific mRNA codon recognition, and the 3' end, to which the tRNAs corresponding amino acid is attached (by aminoacyl-tRNA synthetases). tRNAs cope with the degeneracy of the genetic code in two manners: having more than one tRNA (with a specific anti-codon) for a particular amino acid; and 'wobble' base-pairing, i.e. permitting non-standard base-pairing at the 3rd anti-codon position.
Source: RNAcentral
CCCGUGAUAGCUCAGUUGGUAGAGCGGAGGACUGUAGAUCCAGCAGGUCGCUGGUUCAAAUCCGGCUCGCGGGA